Long non-coding RNA from Cotesia glomerata, 770 nucleotides. RefSeq lists it as uncharacterized. The transcript has 3 exons. The record is from RefSeq and is a predicted model, not a curated record. NCBI's taxonomy places the organism in Eukaryota, Metazoa, Arthropoda, Insecta, Hymenoptera, Braconidae.
UCAAUUUUAUUUUAUUUUUUUUUUUUUUUCAUGUGCAAUAACACAAAGAAUGCAAAAAAACUACUUACAUAAACCACAUCGAUGUAACAAUAAGUAACUGAGUAAUUUAUUCAAAUUGUGGAAACUACAAAAAUUAUUCAAAAACAUUUUCCGGCGUUAAAUUUUUCUUAAGUCGAAGGUUUUCUUUUGCUGAAACUCUGCAUCCUCUUUUGCUUAGGAACUCUUUUUAUGAUUAUUGGGAAUUUAAGUAGUAAAAACUAUGAAAGUUUUGCAAUAACUUUCCCCAGUGUCAUGUUUUCUACUUCCUUUUUAUCCUUUUGAUAAAUUUUUGAAUACAUUUCUAGCUGCAAAGACGAAAAAAUUUUUUUUUGAAAUUCGUUUACUGAAAAAUUUUUGGAACUUUCCUGAUAGCCAAGCUUUUUUUUUUAAAAUAGUUGGAUUUCAGCAGUUACAGUUAACUUAACAUCAAGCUUGCGGUAAUUCUUUACAGUACAACAGUUGUAAACAAAUUGACGAAAAUCGACAUCCACAAUUUGAAUACAAGUUAGCACCAAACUUUUGGUUAAAUUUUCUUUCAGCUUUACUACAACUUGACUAAAAUACUUACACUGCAAGUAUUGAUGUCAAGUUGCAGAGUAACUUAUAGACAAUUUAACUAAAACCGUUUGGUUUACAAACUUUUUCCAUCAAGUUGGCUACAAAUUUUGGCAGUAGAUUGAAUAAAAGUUUGAGUUAAGAUGGCUAUCAGGGGCUAUAAUUGUUUUCUUACU